GUGGGGAAUUUUGGACAAUGGGCGCAAGCCUGAUCCAGCAAUGCCGCGUGCAGGAAGAAGGCCUUCGGGUUGUAAACUGCUUUUGUACGGAACGAAACGGUCGUGGUUAAUACCUGGGGCUAAUGACGGUACCGUAAGAAUAAGCACCGGCUAACUACGUGCCAGCAGCCGCGGUAAUACGUAGGGUGCAAGCGUUAAUCGGAAUUACUGGGCGUAAAGCGUGCGCAGGCGGUUUUGUAAGACAGGCGUGAAAUCCCCGGGCUCAACCUGGGAAUUGCGCUUGUGACUGCAAGGCUGGAGUGCGGCAGAGGGGGAUGGAAUUCCGCGUGUAGCAGUGAAAUGCGUAGAUAUGCGGAGGAACACCGAUGGCGAAGGCAAUCCCCUGGGCCUGCACUGACGCUCAUGCACGAAAGCGUGGGGAGCAAACAGGAUUAGAUACCCGGGUAGUCC
This 450-nucleotide ribosomal RNA is filed under the name uncultured bacterium. RNAcentral describes it as "partial 16S ribosomal RNA". It matches the Rfam family "Bacterial small subunit ribosomal RNA", at positions 354 to 796 of the family's 1533-position model. The record is from RNAcentral.